RNAcentral lists this ribosomal RNA (660 nucleotides) under uncultured bacterium. Its description in RNAcentral is "bacterial SSU rRNA". It matches the Rfam family "Bacterial small subunit ribosomal RNA", at positions 8 to 694 of the family's 1533-position model. The record is from RNAcentral.
AGAGUUUGAUCCUGGCUCAGGACGAACGCUGGCGGUGUGCUUCACACAUGCAAGCCGAACGGAGUAGCAAUACUCAGUGGCGGACGGGUGAGUAACACGUGGGAAUCUACCAUUAGGUGGGGAAUAACAGGCCGAAAGGACUGCUAAUGCCGCAUAUGUAGGCAUCUCGACAGAGAUGUUUAUGAAAGGAGUAAUCCGCCUUUUGAUGAGCCCGCGUCCGAUUAGCUAGUUGGUAGGGUAAAAGCCUACCAAGGCGACGAUCGGUAGGUGGUCUGAGAGGAUGAUCACCCACAAUGGGACUGAGACACGGCCCAUACUCCUACGGGAGGCAGCAGUGGGGAAUUUUACGCAAUGGGGGAAACCCUGACGUAGCGACACCGCGUGAGCGAAGAAGCCCUUUGGGGUGUAAAGCUCUGUCAACAGGAACGAAACAAAUGACGGUACCUGUGGAGGAAGCAUCGGCUAACUACGUGCCAGCAGCCGCGGUAAGACGUAGGAUGCAAGCGUUGUCCGGAUUUAUUGGGCGUAAAGAGUUCGUAGGCGGUUUGUUAAGUCUGAUGUUAAAGACCGGGGCUCAACCUCGGAAAUGCAUUGGAUACUGGCAGACUGGAGUGCAGUAGAGGCUAGUGGAAUUCCCAGUGUAGCGGUGAAAUGCGUAGA